This 460-nucleotide ribosomal RNA is filed under the name uncultured bacterium. RNAcentral's name for it is "partial 16S ribosomal RNA". It matches the Rfam family "Bacterial small subunit ribosomal RNA", at positions 338 to 795 of the family's 1533-position model. The record is from RNAcentral.
CCUACGGGAGGCAGCAGUGAGGAAUAUUGGUCAAUGGGCGGGAGCCUGAACCAGCCAAGUCGCGUGAGGGAAGACGGUCCUACGGAUUGUAAACCUCUUUUGCCGGGGAGCAACGGGGUCCUUGCGAGGGCCCAAUGAGAGUACCCGGAGAAAAAGCAUCGGCUAACUCCGUGCCAGCAGCCGCGGUAAUACGUAGGUGGCGAGCGUUAUCCGGAUUUAUUGGGCGUAAAGCGUCCGCAGCCGGUUUAUUAAGUCUAAGAUUAAAGCCCGAAGCUUAACUUCGGUUCGUUUUAGAAACUGGUAGACUCGAGUGUGGUAGAGGCAAGUGGAACUUCUAGUGUAGCGGUAAAAUGCGUAGAUAUUAGAAAGAACACCAGUGGCGAAGGCGACUUGCUGGGCCAUCACUGACGGUCAGGGACGAAAGCGUGGGGAGCAAAUAGGAUUAGAUACCCUUGUAGUC